GGCCAGCAGAUCUGGAGUCAUAUACUAAAAUUGGAAUUAUACAGAGAAGAUUAGCAUGGCCUUAGGGGAAGGAUAACACUCAAAUUCAAGAAGUGUUCCAUAUUUUU
Molecule: small nuclear RNA, 107 nt
Organism: Meriones unguiculatus (Mongolian gerbil)
Lineage: Eukaryota; Metazoa; Chordata; Mammalia; Rodentia; Muridae
Source: Ensembl